AUUGAACGCUGGCGGAAUGCUUUACACAUGCAAGUCGAACGGCAGCACGGGGGCAGCCCUGGUGGCGAGUGGCGAACGGGUGAGUAAUACAUCGGAACGUGCCCGGUCGUGGGGGAUAACGUAGCGAAAGUUACGCUAAUACCGCAUACGAUCUGAGGAUGAAAGCGGGGGACCUUCGGGCCUCGCGCGAUCGGAGCGGCCGAUGUCAGAUUAGGUAGUUGGUGGGGUAAAGGCCUACCAAGCCGACGAUCUGUAGCUGGUCUGAGAGGACGACCAGCCACACUGGGACUGAGACACGGCCCAGACUCCUACGGGAGGCAGCAGUGGGGAAUUUUGGACAAUGGGCGCAAGCCUGAUCCAGCCAUUCCGCGUGCAGGACGAAGGCCUUCGGGUCGUAAACUGCUUUUGUACGGAACGAAAAGGCUCUGGCUAAUACCUGGGGCUCAUGACGGUACCGUAAGAAUAAGCACCGGCUAACUACGU
Molecule: ribosomal RNA, 483 nt
Filed under: uncultured bacterium
Lineage: Bacteria
Description: partial 16S ribosomal RNA
Rfam family: Bacterial small subunit ribosomal RNA
Source: RNAcentral